Molecule: unclassified non-coding RNA, 908 nt
Filed under: Hevea brasiliensis (rubber tree)
Lineage: Eukaryota; Viridiplantae; Streptophyta; Magnoliopsida; Malpighiales; Euphorbiaceae
Source: RNAcentral
GCCCAAUUACCAUACUUUUUCCCCUUUAAGGAGCCGUUGUUCCACUCUCUCUUUCAUUACCGCACUUGACCCUGUAAUUAUCUAACCUUAACCACUUAAUUAUCAUUAAACAUCCGAGGUUAAUUAAGGGAAUUUGCAUGCGAGUGCAACCCACCACUUUCCAAAAUCUAACAAGUGGGUUCCACUCUUUUACAGCUAUAAAUACCAAUCCUUUAUUUACACCGUAACCUCCCUGCCCCUCUCUCUCAAAAGCCACUCCACUCCAGCUGCUUUCACUUUUCUCGAUUUGCACUUCACUUCUUCUUCGUCCGCCCUUUCUAGCAAUCAAAGCAUACGCAAAAGAAGCCUCAAACUCUGAGAACUUCAGUUUCUUUUCACCCUCCGGAGACUGUAAGUGCAGUGACUUACAGGAACCCUGCAGAUUUUUUUUUUUUUUUGGCUCACACAAUGGUCGACGUUGACCGGAGGAUGACCGGUCUCAAUCCGGCUCAUAUAGCUGGCCUUCGCCGUCUUUCUGCCCGAGCUGCUGCUCCUUCAACAGCUUCUUCUCUUCCUGUCCGUAACGGUCUUGUCUCUUUCUCUUCUCUGGCUGACAAAGUUAUAACCCAUUUACGUAACUCAGGUAUCCAAGUUCAGCCGGGUCUUUCUGACGCUGAGUUCGCUCGGGCUGAAGCAGAGUUUGGCUUCGCUUUCCCUCCCGAUCUUCGCGCCGUACUCUCCGCUGGUUUGCCUGUUGGUCCUGGCUUCCCGGAUUGGCGCUCAGGCGGUGCUCGCCUCCAUCUCCGUGCCUCGCUUGAUCUUCCUAUCGCUGCUAUCUCAUUUCAAAUCGCACGCAACACUCUCUGGUCCAAGUCAUGGGGUCCCAGACCAUCCGACCCGGAAAAGGCAUUGAGGGUGGCGAGAAAUGC